CUUUCUUCCACAAUCAAAGAAUCCCCAGUUUUUAACUAGGUCACAUGGUUGCCCAGAAUUAAGGCUGUAUUUCUCAGCACCUCCUGCAAUUAACUAUGGCCACAUGACUAAGUUAUAGCUAAUGGGCUGCAGCAGAAUUGUAGCAUGACAGCUUCUAGAAACCUUUCUUAAAGGACACCUGACACAUGCCCUUUGCUUCCUGUAUUAGUUAGAAUUCUCCAGAGAAACAGAACCAACAGGAUACAUAGACAUCAAAGGCGAUUUAUUAUGAGGAAUUGGCUCCCACGAUUAUGGAGGCGAGGAAGCCCCACAAUCUGCUGUCUGCAGAUCCUGGAGACGCAGGAAAGCCGGUGAUAUAAUUCAGUCUGAGUCCAAAGGCCUGAGGACCAGGGGAGCCAAUAGCAUCAGUCCUAGUCUGAGGCAGAAGAUGAGAGGAGAUGUCCCAGCGAACUCCUCCUUCCUCCAUCUUUUGUUCUAUUCAGGCCCUCAGCAGAAUGGAUGAUGCCCACCCACUUUGGGGAGGUCAAUUUACUUUACUGAGUUCACAGAUUCAAAUGUCAAUCUCAUUCAGAAAUACCCUUACAGACACACCUAGAAAUAAUGUUUAAUCUGGGCAGCCCACGGCCAGUCAAGUCGACACAUAAUCUCAACCAUCAUGCUCCCCUUCAUCUCUGUCACUCUUUCCAUCCCACUGCUUGUAAUGUGGUGAGAGAGCUGGAGCUCUAGCUGCCUUCUUGGACUAUGAGGAUAAGGACCACACCAGUGGGAUGGUAAAGCAGCAAGCCAGAAGGAGUUUGAGUUCCUGGAGACUUAGAGGAAUAGAGAUCCUACAACAUCCCUGGAUUACUUACCUUACAGACCUUUACACAAGACAGAGAAAUAUACCACUGUCUUAAGUCAGCAGUGUUACCAUGGAGGUCUGCCUUUUAGUUAAACCUAAUCCUUAGUGAUACACACCCUUUUCCUUAUGUUUACGUGAGCCUUUGUGGUCCUUAGUCAAUGGGUCUGUAGUCAUUUCAUCUUAGUGGUAAAAGGCCAAAGCUUGGUCCCUAGGAUCACAAACUCAACACGUUGAGAACGGUGUCUUUCUGUCUACAGCAAGGAAUGGAGACGGUCCAAUGAAUGCCAACGACUUCAAUUCUCCAGCUGCUUCAGUUGGUUCCCAAGAUAGUAGCCAUGAGCUCCAUGAGGCAAUGCGACUUCAUCUGUACUCCGCAGAGAGCAUCGCUAAUCCAAAAAAUGCACCUAUCCUUCCCUUAAAGAUGUCAGCUCUCUCCUGAAAACCUUGCUGCUAAGGGAAAAAAAAUUAGGUGAAAAAAUUUUCCACUGAUUUUAAUGGGAAAAAUUAUGAUGCAUUUCCUCCCAAUCCAAGAUACCCUAAACAGUACUCAUAGGUAGAAAAAUAUAUUAACUGAACAAUGAAAAGAAGUUUAUGCAACAAACAGCAAUUAGAAAGUAAAUAAGUUGAGUCUGUAGGUAAAAUGUAAAGAAGUUUACAGCACUUACCGAAGGAGGAAGGAAGGAGGAAGAAAGACUUGGUAGUGGGGGGGCUGGCGGAGAAGGGGUUCUUUGGAAGGCAUGGCCUUCUUUCCGCACCGUUCAACCAUUUCUCAACAUUUAGGGGGUUCACGGUGAUCUUGCAUCCAAACUUCACUACAAAUAAAGUUAUAUCACAGAAAAUACGUUGAGGGCACAAUAAAAGUAAAUACGUGAGUAGUUCAAAAGGUGUAAAACCAGUGCGUGCGCACAGCCCACUGACGAGUCACGGGACAUGCUUCCUCCUCCUUCCUCCUCCUUCCUCCACUGCGCAGUGUGCUUCGGGUUCAUCCCCACGCGGCAGCCACUCCUCUUCCUUCCAUGUGAUGUUCUCCGACUAGAAACUGCUGUGCCGAGUAAUAAGCUGGUGACUGUGUCUUUGCCUGAAACCAUAAAGUCAAAAUAUUACUUCUUGCAGCAUAUGGCAUUGGGUGAAAACAUGGUCAUACUGAAAAAAAAAGAAGCCACUGUCUGAAAAGCGUGGAACCGUUCAAAGCCGUAACGGCAGUAGGUCAUUACCGAACGUCUGUGUGCGGGCUGCGGGUGUAGCUGAGGGGCCGGGGCAGGAAGAGGCAGCACCCAGGCCUCCUUACAGGGUCUCACUGGGUAACAGUGAGCGGAGUCCUUCCGGCCGCGGGGGAGCCCGGACUGCAGACAAGCCUCCGCACACCCCGCCUCCCGGGCAGGGCCCAGGGCCCAAACUCCCUCCUGUGUUCUCCUUCAGCCGGAUUUGAGGGACUCGGGUGUGUCUGGGCUGAAAGUGUUAGAGCUUCCACCAAGCUGCUGCGGAUGUCCCCAGUGGGCGUUCGCUUGUGACUCUUAAAGAAACAGGCCUGAGGCCCGCUCUGACGGCCAGAGUCAGCUUAAGGGCUUGUUUCGUUCCGGGAGGAAUCGAGUCGCGUUGGGCAGUGAACACCCCCUGGGAGAAAGAACAGGACGCUUCACCUGUGCCCGCUGCUGUGUCCCCGGUUCUUCUGAAAUCUCCCGCACGCCGCGUCUGUUCUUAUUCCCCUGGGCCCGCUGGAAGCCCAGCUAGGGGCAGCCAGGGCCAAAGGGCACGGGCUUCGGGGCUGGCCAGAAGGGCACUCGGCUCCCCCACUUCCUCCCCUGACCACAUUCAAGUCGUCCCUCCCCUCCCGCCACCUCCCGCAACCUUCCUCCGCCCUCGCGUCCUCCUCGGAUGGCAUCACGCACGUUCUCUCUUAGCUGACGUCACCAGGCGCGAGCGUUCAUCCGCAUCUCAUCGGGAAGACUUUCCAGGGCUGGACUUGAACCCUGGAGCGCUCCCGGCACGUGUCUGUCCCUCCAGCGGUUCGGGGACUCUAGGAGACUCUUUCUCUGGCUCUCGCGCUGGCUCCCUGCCGCUGGCGCUCUCCCGGCCGUCGUCACCGUCCCGUCGUCACCGUCCCGGGAGGAGGGCCGGCCCGCAGUCGGCCUGUGGACUGCGGCGUGAGCGCCCGCGAGCUACGAGUCCUCCAACGGGCCCCGUGCUGCCAAGGCUAGUGAAGCCUGAGCGUCCGCUGCUCAGGGACAGAGAGGAGUCAGCUCGACCCGGAGGCCAGAGAGACCCCGGCUCCUCCGGGCCGUGACCUGGGGCCCCCGCCCUGCCCUGCGGCCCGCGGACUGCCCAACCUGACCAAUUUCUCUCGGUGUUUGGCGAGGGCCUUAGGGAGCCCAGACCCAGAACGCGAGCCUGGUUGAGAACGUGGAGAGACGCAGGUCGCUGGAACUCGCUGUCGUGGGAAACAGCGGCCACUCGCCGCCGAGGCAGAGGGCUCGCGGGCAGCAGCGGCGGCCGCAGGAGGCAGCCCGGAGGAGCCGGCGCCCGUUCUCCUCCCGCUCGGCUCUCCCCCAGCGCCCCCGCGGGCACCACCGGCGGGCAGCCGGCCGGCCGAGAGAGACGCGCUCGGCGUCCCAGCCCAGCGUCGCCGAGCGAGCGCAGGACGGCUCCGAAGCUGAGACAGUAGCCUAGGGAUCCGCACGUGGACCCUCACAUAUUAAAUGACGUAUGUAUUUGGGCCUGUUUCUAGACUCUGUUCCAAUGACCUAUUUCUCCACCAACACUAACUUCAUUUUAUUACUGUACUUUUGUACAUUUUGGCAUCUGGUAGGACUAGUUCCUCCUUGGUUUUCCCCCCAAAAUUCCUGGCUAUUCUGACACGUGUUUCUAUAUUAUUAUAUUAUAUGUAAUAUAUAGCUAUAUUUCUAUGUGAAUUAGAAUUAACUUCUCAGUGACUGGAAUCUCAUUGAAUUUCUAUGUUAAUUUAGGGGACUUGAGAAGUUUACACUAAUGAGAUUUCUUAUCCAACUUUUAUCUUUCAAUUUAUCCAAAUAUGUCUUUGAGUUCUCUCAAUAGAGUAUUAUGCUUUUAUUCACGUAAGUAUUGUGGAUUCUUAACUUUAUUCUUAGGUAUUUCCCCUCCAAUUCAUUGCUAAUAUAUAAAUUCUAUUUUCCCUCAUUAUAUUUUCUCCUGGUUACUAUUUGUAUGAAAAACUUGAUUUUUGCAUGUUAAUUUCAUAACCAGCUUCUUUGUUGAAUUCUACUUUUUUUUUUUUUUUUUUUGAGGAAGAUUAGCCCUGAGCUAACUCUGCCAAUCCUCCUCUUUUUGCUGAGGAAGACUGGCCCUGAGCUAACAUCCAUGCCCAUCUUCCUCUACUUUAUAUGUGGGACGCCUACCACAGCACGGCUUUUGCCAAGCGGUGCCAUGUCCACACCCGAGAUCCAAACCGCGAACUCUGGGCCUCCGAGAAGUGGAAACUGCGCACUUAACCGCUGCACCACCGGGCCGGCCCCCAAGUUCUAUUUUUUCUUUAAUUGCUUUUCAAUUGAUUUUCCUGUUUUGUCCAGGUAUAAAAUUAACGGUAUAUGUUAUCAGUAAUAAUAAAUUAUUCCCUCCUGUCUUCUAUUUUCACUAUUUUCUUUCUGUUCUCUGAUUCAAUGGCUGCUAUUGUAAUGGGUUGAUCUCACUCUUCAUUCGCCCGGUGCAGACGUUUUUGUUAGAGACAUAGAUUUAAUUUUCUUAAAGAAUAACACACGCUUUCCUAUUGUAUUAGAAGUUUUGUAAAGUCCAUAAAUUGAUUUUUAACUUUUCAAAUAACUUUGAGGAAUCUAUUGAAAUGAUCACGUUUUUCCUCCCUUGACCUAUGAAUGUGGUGAAUUAUUCCAGUAAAUAUUCUUAAAUUGUUUCACUUUUACAUUUUUGAAAUAAAUCCACCUGGGUAUGG
Long non-coding RNA from Equus asinus (donkey), 4760 nucleotides. The record is from Ensembl. NCBI's taxonomy places the organism in Eukaryota, Metazoa, Chordata, Mammalia, Perissodactyla, Equidae.